UAAUUCUGAUCGUAAAAAUAU
Molecule: non-coding RNA, 21 nt
Organism: Caenorhabditis elegans
Lineage: Eukaryota; Metazoa; Nematoda; Chromadorea; Rhabditida; Rhabditidae
Source: Ensembl